Molecule: small nucleolar RNA, 130 nt
Filed under: Calypte anna (Anna's hummingbird)
Lineage: Eukaryota; Metazoa; Chordata; Aves; Apodiformes; Trochilidae
Description: Small nucleolar RNA SNORA25
Rfam family: Small nucleolar RNA SNORA25
About the family: ACA25 is a member of the H/ACA class of snoRNA that guide the sites of modification of uridines to pseudouridines.
Source: Rfam by way of RNAcentral
AGGUCACUUCAAAGAGGGCUCGUGUGGCUGAAACACCAGCGGCUCUUAACGCGGUGACCGCAUAGUGAAAUCCUCUGCAGGAUGCUGUGGACACUCGGUGUGUGCUAUGGUCUAUUAAUGAGGAGAUAAA